GAUGAACGCUGGCGGCGUGCUUAACACAUGCAAGUCGAACGGAAAGGCCCAAGCUUGCUUGGGUACUCGAGUGGCGAACGGGUGAGUAACACGUGGGUGAUCUGCCCUGCACUUCGGGAUAAGCCUGGGAAACUGGGUCUAAUACCGGAUAGGACCACUUCUUGGAUGUUGUGGUGGAAAGUUUUUUCGGUGUGGGAUGAGCUCGCGGCCUAUCAGCUUGUUGGUGGGGUAAUGGCCUACAAAGGCGUCGACGGGUAGCCGGCCUGAGAGGGUGUACGGCCACACUGGGUCUGAGAGACGGCACAGACGCCUACGGGAGGCAGCAGUGGGGAAUAUUGAACAAGGGGCGCAAGCCUGAUGCAGCGACGCCGCGUGGGGGAUGACGGCCUUCGGGUUGUAAACUCCUUUCGCUAGGGACGAAGCGUUUUGUGACGGUACCUGGAGAAGAAGCACCGGCUAACUACGUG
Molecule: ribosomal RNA, 467 nt
Filed under: uncultured bacterium
Lineage: Bacteria
Description: partial 16S ribosomal RNA
Rfam family: Bacterial small subunit ribosomal RNA
Source: RNAcentral